This 117-nucleotide ribosomal RNA is filed under the name Staphylococcaceae bacterium DP2N0-1. RNAcentral describes it as "partial 16S ribosomal RNA". It matches the Rfam family "Bacterial small subunit ribosomal RNA", at positions 1 to 112 of the family's 1533-position model. Lineage: Bacteria; Bacillati; Bacillota; Bacilli; Caryophanales; Staphylococcaceae. The record is from RNAcentral.
UUUAUGGAGAGUUUGAUCCUGGCUCAGGAUGAACGCUGGCGGCGUGCCUAAUACAUGCAAGUCGAGCGAACAGAUAAGGAGCUUGCUCCUUUGACGUUAGCGGCGGACGGGUGAGUA